CACAACUCCGAGACCCAUUUAAGGGCUGACUUACCACUGAGGAAGAAUUUCUCUCUGGAGAUCAUUCCUCUUGGAGUCUAUUUAUGCAAGACCAGGAUAUGGGAUAGCUGGGGACGUGCAUUGUGUCUCUGUACUUACAUACACCAAGUUCCAAUCAGUUCAGACCAAAGCUUCAGAGGAGAAAUACUGACUACUAAAAUCUGGAGUAAUACAAGAAACAGAGAAGAAAAUCAGAAAAAGUGUAGAAUCAAUUCAAGACUAUUGAAAUUGAAGGGAGUAAAAUACCCCUUCUAGUAUUGAACGGUUCUAGAUGGGAGCUGAAACUGAAUGUACCCACAUCUAUUUUAGCUAGUAAGCUUUAAAUGACCUAGACAUGGAGACUGCAAGUGGUUAUUAUGUUGAUGCUUUGCUUGUUAUUCUUUUCUAUAAAUUCCUUCCAAUUUCAUCACUAGUUACCUACAGAUCUGUCUGAAAUGCUCAUGUUCAUAUUCAAACACAGUCACAGGCUGCACAUCCUUUGAGAAAUGUUUUUUCGGUGUUUGGGAUGAGGAAAAUAGACAACGGAUUUUAUCUUAGCAUUCUUCUUUCCAGAUAAAUUUCCUUGCUAUAUUUUGCCUGUUUUUGUUUAAUUCUAAUAUUUCAUCCUUUUUUUUGUUGUUUUGACUCUACCCAACUGGUUUACCUUGUUUUUAAAGCAGGGUAAUAAAAGCUGGGCUCCAGCUGAGACCUCAUGUAUGCAGGAUAAAGAAUAAUUACCUCCUCUGUGUUACUUGCCACAACCUGUUACUUUUUAAUAGCAUCACAUUUUUCACCUGGAUUUAGUUUGUGAUCCAUUCUAACAUCUCUUCUUUGGUCCUUUUUUGUUAGUAUGCUGCUUAGCUAGCUAGUUCUGAUAAUUUUAUUUUAUUUGUAUGCUCAAUUUUCUCUCUUAGUUAUUGUUUUUUGUUGGUCAGUUCUUUUUUGUUGUUGUGUUGCUUUUGGAUUACUUCCCCAAUUUGCCAGAAUUGUUUUGAGCAGCAGGCAGUCUCCAGUAGGCUUUCAGCAAUGCAUGACUCACAAGUGAUACAGGUAGUCAUACGUUUAAUGAAGGUAUGGAAUAUGAGGAUACAGGAGAAAUAUACUGCCAAACUUUAGAGGGGGAAAAAAAAGUUGACUGCUUCUCUUUAGGUUUUCUUCAAUUAGUUCAUUUAUCAUUGAGUAAUUUGUUUAAGAUACUGUGUCCUUCUUUGGCUUAGGAAAACGUCAUGCAAAGCAAUGUCAAAAAACUUAGUAAAAUCCGUUGGAUUAUGAAACUACUUUCAGUUUAUCUAACAGGCCUUUCUAAAAGGAAGGGAAAGUAUGUAUGACAUUUACCUUCUUUUUGCUGCCAACUUGUUUCACUUUUUUGCUCACUUGUCUCAUCCCUAUUUCUCCUCCUCAUCACAUUCAUGACAAAGAGGGUUUUGGUGAAAUGACUCAAACAAAAAUGUUGCUAAAGACAGUAAAGGAAAAAAUGUGCACCAUUAUAACACUUCUAUGAUGGUCAGGAAGAGAUAAAUUCAGCUGCUUAAUUAAAAAAUAACAUUGAAUUUAGAGUUCUACUCUAAUCAUAAUUCCUUAAAGACUCCUACUGACUACAGGGAGAUGGGUAUCUUGACUGUUUUGCAAGAGUCUUGAGAAAACUGUUCUGUAAAGAAUCAUUCACUCUGUCUAGAAU
Molecule: long non-coding RNA, 1696 nt
Organism: Lagopus muta (rock ptarmigan)
Lineage: Eukaryota; Metazoa; Chordata; Aves; Galliformes; Phasianidae
Exons: 3
Source: RefSeq, a predicted model, not a curated record